AACGCGAAGAACCUUACCUGGGCUCGAAGCACAGUGGACCGGGGUAGAAAUAUCCCUUUUCGCAAGAACUGCUGUGGAGGUGCUGCAUGGCUGUCGUCAGCUCGUGUCGUGAGAUGUUGGGUUAAGUCCCGCAACGAGCGCAACCCUUAUCGUUAGUUGCCAGCGGGUAAUGCCGGGGACUCAUAGGAGACUGCCGGGGUCAACUCGGAGGAAGGUGGGGAUGACGUCAAGUCCUCAUGCCCCUUAUGUCUUGGGCUGCAAACAUGCUACAAUGGCCAGUACAAAGGGUUGCGAGACCGCAAGGUGGAGCGAAUCCCAAAAAAGCUGGUACUCAGUUCGGAUUGGGGUCUGCAACUCGACCCCAUGAAGUCGGAGUCGCUAGUAAUCGCAGAUCAGCAACGCUGCGGUGAAUACGUUCCGGGCCUUGUACACACCGCUCGUC
RNAcentral lists this ribosomal RNA (442 nucleotides) under uncultured bacterium. Its description in RNAcentral is "bacterial SSU rRNA". It matches the Rfam family "Bacterial small subunit ribosomal RNA", at positions 958 to 1398 of the family's 1533-position model. The record is from RNAcentral.